GUGCCAGCCGCCGCGGUAAGACGAACCGUGCGAACGUUGUUCGGAAUCACUGGGCUUAAAGGGCGCGUAGGCGGGCCUUCAAGUCCGGGGUGAAAUCCUCCAGCCUAACUGGAGAAGAGCCUCGGAGACUGAGGGCCUCGAGGAGGGUAGGGGCAAGCGGAACUAUGGGUGGAGCGGUGAAAUGCAUUGAUAUCCAUAGGAACUCCGGUGGCGAAGGCGGCUUGCUGGACCCUUUCUGACGCUGAGGCGCGAAAGCCAGGGGAGCAAACGGGAUUAGAAACCCGCGUAGUCC
This 292-nucleotide ribosomal RNA is filed under the name uncultured bacterium. Its description in RNAcentral is "partial 16S ribosomal RNA". It matches the Rfam family "Bacterial small subunit ribosomal RNA", at positions 505 to 796 of the family's 1533-position model. The record is from RNAcentral.